CGAAGAUCUCUCAUUAUCUUGUCAUCCAAACUGUCAAGAAGCUGGAACUUUUUUACUUCUUUUGACCCAGUAGGUUCUCCUUGCCUCUGAAGGGCCUCCCAGUCUCCUCUCCAGCGAUGAAAGUCUCGCCUGAUGCCAGUGAACUUGGGGAGGGAGGUUGGCUUCAGUCUGAUGGCUGAUAUUGAUGUCGGGUAGCUGAUAGAAGCUGCACUCACAACUCUUUCGGCGUCUUCUUUAGCUUUUGCUUUAAUGAACUCUGCCUUUUUGGACAUUAACUUGGGAACGAUCUGCUCGAGCUCUCGUACACGCACCUGGAAGUCUUUCUGCUCGGCAGGAGGGGCCCAACCCUUCCACUGUGUGUACAGCUCCUUCGCCCUCUUAACCAGUCCUUCCAUGUAGUCGAACAUGAAGUCAAAGGCCUCUUUAUUUCCACCAGGUUCAAAGGAAAUCACACUCUUUACUUUCUCCUCUGCAGCCUGUAGCGCCAUCAUCAGUUCCUCCUCCCCGAAAUUAGCCCAGAGUGUCUUUCGAAUGAGGUCCUUCAGCUCUUCCAAUUUCAUCUCACACUCGCUUGCAGUUUUCCCAAUAUCGGCCUUUUGCUGCUUGCUCAACCCGGGAACUUCAUCAGGAUCUGCGUCCAGCUCCACUUCUGCAAGGUACUGGGCCUCCACAUCGUCAUUUGCUUCCAUGACUUUGUUGGCCUCAGUUAUGAGCCUUUUGAAAUGGUCUCUGAGCUCCUCUUCAGCCAUUAUGGCGUGCAUCCGGACAAUGUUGUUGGACAGCCGGGAGAAUUGUCGCUUUGCAGACGUCCUACUAGCUUUAAGCUGCUCCAGUGACUUUGAGUCAGCCAUCUUCCUUUUCACCAGGAUUCGGUGUGGGAGGGGUGAUCUUCAGUGUUACUAGGCCUCUGGACUUCCAGGCCUGGCCAGUUGCAGUUCAGGAUACUUCGCUCCAGUCUUCGCACCAGUGGCGGUUUUUCACUGUCAAGUGUCUCACUUUUGUGAGGGUCAAACUGCAGCCCCCCACUUGAAAGGGCAGC
Long non-coding RNA from Gasterosteus aculeatus aculeatus (three-spined stickleback), 1039 nucleotides. NCBI's taxonomy places the organism in Eukaryota, Metazoa, Chordata, Actinopteri, Perciformes, Gasterosteidae. The record is from Ensembl.